RNAcentral lists this long non-coding RNA (530 nucleotides) under Homo sapiens (human). RNAcentral describes it as "long intergenic non-protein coding RNA 906". The record is from RNAcentral. Lineage: Eukaryota; Metazoa; Chordata; Mammalia; Primates; Hominidae.
ACUGACAGCCUGCCUCGCAUAAUGUUAAGCAGGCAUCGGACACUUGCUGGAAGGCAGGGAAUUGCAAUGAAAGAGCACGGAGGUGAGAAGCUGUGCUCCUUGGGGUGAAGGCAGCUUCUGUGCUCCUGGGAUCUACUGUUAAGCCAGGGUGACGCCAGCUUGCAUGCUACCGGAGGGGAAGAGAAAAUUUGGACACACAGGGAGAAAACCACAGGGAGGAGAUGGCCAUCUACAAUUCCAGAAAAGCAGCCUCAGAAGAAACCAAUCUGCAAACAUCUUUAUCUGCAACUCCCUGCCUCCCAAAUGAUUACAGGUCAAGAGGAGACAUCUUUAAAAACGUGUCCAGCCAAUCGGUUCUUCAGAUGCGUUCAUGAAGUCACACCUGCUGUGUAUGAACCUGAUUGCAUGUCCUGCUUUCUGCCUAAGAAAAGCACGCCUAAGUACACAUGGGCGUGCAGCUUGUUUGAAGAAUCUGUUGCUAUAGAAAGAUAAAAGGGAAGAAAAAGAUAAAAUAUGUAUAAAAGGAAAAA